RNAcentral lists this ribosomal RNA (482 nucleotides) under uncultured bacterium. Its description in RNAcentral is "partial 16S ribosomal RNA". It matches the Rfam family "Bacterial small subunit ribosomal RNA", at positions 29 to 507 of the family's 1533-position model. The record is from RNAcentral.
AUUGAACGCUGGCGGCAUGCCUUACACAUGCAAGUCGAACGGUAACGGGCCUUCGGGUGCCGACGAGUGGCGAACGGGUGAGUAAUACAUCGGAGCGUGCCCGAUCGUGGGGGAUAACGAGGCGAAAGCUUUGCUAAUACGCAAAAGGACCUAGGAAGGAAGGCGGGGGACGGAAGGCCCUGGGGGGGACGGGGGGGCGGAGGGCAGAUUAGGUAGUUGGUGGGAUAAAAGCUUACCAAGCCGACGAUCUGUAGCUGGUCUGAGAGGAUGAUCAGCCACACUGGGACUGAGACACGGCCCAGACUCCUACGGGAGGCAGCAGUGGGGAAUUUUGGACAAUGGGCGCAAGCCUGAUCCAGCCAUGCCGCGUGCAGGAUGAAGGCCUUCGGGUUGUAAACUGCUUUUGUACGGAACGAAAAGCCUUCUUUUAAUACAGGAGGGUCAUGACGGUACCGUAAGAAUAAGCACCGGCUAACUACGUG